UUUAAAGGGACACUCCAGGCACCCAGACCACUUCUGCUAAUUGGAGUGGUCUGGGUGCCAACUCCCACUACUCUUAACCCUGCAACUGUAAUUAUUGCAGUUUCUUAUGCAGGGUUAACUCCACGUCUAGUGGCUGUCCUGAUUCAUGGCAAAGAUUUUCUUUGCUAGAGCGUCGCUGGACGUCAUCACGCUGUGUGAGGACCUCCAGCGUCACUCAAUUCCCCAUAGGAAAGCAUUGAAAAUCUUUUUCAAUGCUUUCCUAUGGGGAGACCUAAUGCGCGUGCGCGGCAUUGCCGCACAUGUGCAUUAGGUUUCCUCAGCUGGUGGGCGGGAUCAGUCUCGCCCACCGGCUGACGUUAUUACUGGGAGGAGUGACGCCAACCUGAAACCACCGCCGAAGGACAUCGGCGGGGUCUCAGGUAAAUGACCGGAAGGGGUUUUCACCCCUUCAGCUACCUGUGAUGGGGGGGAGAGGGUACCUGCAGUGCCAGGAAAGCGGAUUGUUUUCCUGGCACUGGAGUUUCCCUUUAAUGAGAACCCUUCUAAAGGGAGCU
This is a non-coding RNA of Pelobates cultripes (western spadefoot toad), 554 nucleotides long. The record is from the annotation of a GenBank genome assembly. Lineage: Eukaryota; Metazoa; Chordata; Amphibia; Anura; Pelobatidae.